GGGGUUGUGGCUUAGAGGUAGAGCGCUCACCUAGUAUGCGUGAGGCACUAGGUUCGAUCCUUAGUACCACA
RNAcentral lists this transfer RNA (71 nucleotides) under Marmota monax (woodchuck). RNAcentral describes it as "tRNA.Thr". The record is from RNAcentral. Lineage: Eukaryota; Metazoa; Chordata; Mammalia; Rodentia; Sciuridae.